UGAUAAUCUUGAGGGCAAAUGUUGCCGGA
Molecule: non-coding RNA, 29 nt
Filed under: Bombyx mori (domestic silkworm)
Lineage: Eukaryota; Metazoa; Arthropoda; Insecta; Lepidoptera; Bombycidae
Source: RNAcentral